This 497-nucleotide ribosomal RNA is filed under the name uncultured bacterium. RNAcentral's name for it is "partial 16S ribosomal RNA". It matches the Rfam family "Bacterial small subunit ribosomal RNA", at positions 28 to 507 of the family's 1533-position model. The record is from RNAcentral.
GAUGAACGCUGGCGGCGUGCCUAAUACAUGCAAGUCGAGCGAACAGACGAGGAGCUUGCUCCUUUGACGUUAGCGGCGGACGGGUGAGUAACACGUGGAUAACCUACCUAUAAGACUGGGAUAACUUCGGGAAACCGGAGCUAAUACCGGAUAACAUGUUGAACCGCAUGGUUCAACAGUGAAAGACGGUCUUGCUGUCACUUAUAGAUGGAUCCGCGCCGCAUUAGCUAGUUGGUAAGGUAACGGCUUACCAAGGCAACGAUGCGUAGCCGACCUGAGAGGGUGAUCGGCCACACUGGAACUGAGACACGGUCCAGACUCCUACGGGAGGCAGCAGUAGGGAAUCUUCCGCAAUGGGCGAAAGCCUGACGGAGCAACGCCGCGUGAGUGAAGAAGGUCUUCGGAUCGUAAAACUCUGUUAUUAGGGAAGAACAAAUGUGUAAGUAACUAUGCACGUCUUGACGGUACCUAACCAGAAAGCCACGGCUAACUACGUG